Molecule: ribosomal RNA, 468 nt
Filed under: uncultured bacterium
Lineage: Bacteria
Description: partial 16S ribosomal RNA
Rfam family: Bacterial small subunit ribosomal RNA
Source: RNAcentral
GACGAACGCUGGCGGCGCGCCCAACACAUGCAAGUCGAACGGAGCUGCGAGAAGCUUGCUUUUCUUAGCUUAGUGGCGAACGGGUGAGUAACGCGUGAGUAACCUGCCCUGGAGUGGGGGACAACAGUUGGAAACGACUGCUAAUACCGCAUAAGCCCACGAUCCGGCAUCGGAUUGAGGGAAAAGGAUUUAUUCGCUUCAGGAUGGACUCGCGUCCAAUUAGCUAGUUGGUGAGGUAACGGCCCACCAAGGCGACGAUUGGUAGCCGGACUGAGAGGUUGAACGGCCACAUUGGGACUGAGACACGGCCCAGACUCCUACGGGAGGCAGCAGUGGGGGAUAUUGCACAAUGGGGGAAACCCUGAUGCAGCGACGCCGCGUGGAGGAAGAAGGUUUUCGGAUUGUAAACUCCUGUCGUUAGGGACGAUAAUGACGGUACCUAACAAGAAAGCACCGGCUAACUACGUG